AAGUCGUAACAAGGUUUCCGUAGGUGAACCUGCGGAAGGAUCAUUACUGAGUUAGGGUCUCUAUGGCCCGAACCUCCAACCCUUGUGUUUAAUAUACCACGUUGCUUCGGCGGGCCCGUCUUCACAGACCGCCGGAGGGUGUCAAACCCCUCUGGCCCGUGCUCGUCGAUAGCCUCCCAACCAAAACUCUUGUAUAACCAUGAUUGUCUGAGUCUAAAAGUUAAUUAAAUUAAAACUUUCAACAACGGAUCUCUUGGUUCUG
RNAcentral lists this unclassified non-coding RNA (262 nucleotides) under air metagenome. RNAcentral's name for it is "partial contains small subunit ribosomal RNA, internal transcribed spacer 1, and 5.8S ribosomal RNA". The stretch from base 1 to 46 matches the Rfam family "Eukaryotic small subunit ribosomal RNA", at positions 1786 to 1831 of the family's 1831-position model. The record is from RNAcentral.